UCGUAACAAGGUUUCCGUAGGUGAACCUGCGGAAGGAUCAUUAUCGAGUUUUGAAACGGGUUGUAGCUGGCCUCUCCGGAGGCAUGUGCACGCCCUGCUCAUCCACUCUACACCUGUGCACUUACUGUGGGUAUCGGAAGGCGUCGCGUCGUUUACGGCGAGGCGUUAACCGUGCCUACGUCUUACUACAAACGCUUCAGUAUCAGAAUGUGUAUUGCGAUGUAACGCAUCUAUAUACAACUUUCAGCAACGGAUCUCUUGGCUCUCGCAUCGAUGAAGAACGCAGCGAAAUGCGAUAAGUAAUGUGAAUUGCAGAAUUCAGUGAAUCAUCGAAUCUUUGAACGCACCUUGCGCUCCUUGGUAUUCCGAGGAGCAUGCCUGUUUGAGUGUCAUGAAAUUCUCAAACCCAUAAGUCUUUGCGGGCUUACGGGCUUUGGACUUGGAGGCUUUGUCGGCGACCGCGAGGUCUGUCGACUCCUCUCAAAUGCAUUAGCUUGAUUCCUUGCGGAUCGGCUCUCGGUGUGAUAAUUGUCUACGCCGUGACCGUGAAGCGUUUUGGCGAGCUUCUAAUCGUCUCUUACGAGACAGUUUACAUUGACCUCUGACCUCAAAUCAGGUAGGACUACCCGCUGAACUUAAGCAUAUCA
This 647-nucleotide unclassified non-coding RNA is filed under the name Coriolopsis gallica. Its description in RNAcentral is "sequence contains 18S rRNA gene, ITS1, 5.8S rRNA gene, ITS2, 28S rRNA gene". The stretch from base 239 to 392 matches the Rfam family "5.8S ribosomal RNA". Lineage: Eukaryota; Fungi; Basidiomycota; Agaricomycetes; Polyporales; Polyporaceae. The record is from RNAcentral.